CCUACGGGAGGCAGCAGUGAGGAAUAUUGGUCAAUGGCCGGAAGGCUGAACCAGCCAUGCCGCGUGAAGGUCAGUGCCCUAUGGGCGUUAAACUUCUUUUGUGCGGGAGCAAUAAUGGUCACGUGUGGCCAGACGAGAGUACCGUACGAAUAAGCAUCGGCUAACUCCGUGCCAGCAGCCGCUGUAAUACGGGGGAUGCAAGCGUUAUCCGGAUUUAUUGGGGUUAAAGGGGGCCUAGGCUGUGCGGUAAGUCAGCGGUGAAAUGCCCCCGCUCAACGGGGUGAAGUGCCAUUGAUACUGCCUUGCUGGAAUGCGGAUGCGGUGGGAGGAAUGUGUGGUGUAGCGGUGAAAUGCAUAGAUAUCACACAGAACACCGAUUGCGAAGGCAUCUCACGAAUCCGCGAUUGACGCUGAUGCACGAAAGCGUGGGUAUCAAACAGGAUUAGAUACCCCAGUAGUC
Molecule: ribosomal RNA, 460 nt
Filed under: uncultured bacterium
Lineage: Bacteria
Description: partial 16S ribosomal RNA
Rfam family: Bacterial small subunit ribosomal RNA
Source: RNAcentral